GACACGACCGUACCGCAAACCGACACUGGUGCGCGAGAUGAGUAUUCUAAGGCGCUUGAGAGAACUCAGGAGAAGGAACUCGGCAAAUUGACACCGUAACUUCGGAAGAAGGUGUGCCUUUAGUAGGUGAACCAUUUACUUGGGGAGCCCAAUGAGGCUGCAAAAAAUCGGUGGCUGCAACUGUUUAUUAAAAACACAGCACUCUGCUAAGACGAAAGUCGACGUAUAGGGUGUGACGCCUGCCCGGUGCUGGAAGAUUAAAUGAUGGGGUGCAAGCUCUUGAUUGAAGUCCCAGUAAACGGCGGCCGUAACUAUAACGGUCCUAAGGUAGCGAAAUUCCUUGUCGGGUAAGUUCCGACCUGCACGAAUGGCGUAAUGAUGGCCACACUGUCUCCUCCUGAGACUCAGCGAAGUUGAAAUGUUUGUGAUGAUGCAAUCUCCCCGCGGAAAGACGGAAAGACCCCAUGAACCUUUACUGUAGCUUUGUAUUGGACUUUGAACAGAUCUGUGUAGGAUAGGUGGGAGGCUUUGAAGUGUGGUCGCUAGAUCGCAUGGAGCCAACGUUGAAAUACCACCCUGGUGUGUUUGAGGUUCUAACCUAGGUCCAUUAUCUGGAUCGGGGACAGUGCAUGGUAGGCAGUUUGACUGGGGCGGUCUCCUCCCAAAGUGUAACGGAGGAGUUCGAAGGUACGCUAGGUACGGUCGGACAUCGUGCUAAUAGUGCAAUGGCAUAAGCGUGCUUAACUGCGAGACUGACAAGUCGAGCAGAUGCGAAAGCAGGACAUAGUGAUCCGGUGGUUCUGUAUGGAAGGGCCAUCGCUCAACGGAUAAAAGGUACUCUGGGGAUAACAGGCUGAUACCGCCCAAGAGUUCAUAUCGACGGCGGUGUUUGGCACCUCGAUGUCGGCUCAUCUCAUCCUGGGGCUGUAGCCGGUCCCAAGGGUAUGGCUGUUCGCCAUUUAAAGAGGUACGUGAGCUGGGUUUAAAACGUCGUGAGACAGUUUGGUCCCUAUCUUCCGUGGGCGCUGCAGAUUUGAGGAAGCCUGCUCCUAGUACGAGAGGACCGGAGUGGACGAACCUCUGGUGUAUCGGUUGUCACGCCAGUGGCAUUGCCGAGUAGCUAAGUUCGGAAGAGAUAACCGCUGAAAGCAUCUAAGCGGGAAACUCGUUUCAAGAUUAGAUCUGCCGGGGCCUUGAGCCCCCUAAAGAGUCGUUCAAGACCAGGACGUUGAUAGGUCAGGUGUGGAAGC
This 1250-nucleotide ribosomal RNA is filed under the name metagenome. RNAcentral describes it as "bacterial LSU rRNA". It matches the Rfam family "Bacterial large subunit ribosomal RNA", at positions 1635 to 2874 of the family's 2925-position model. The record is from RNAcentral.